Long non-coding RNA from Chiroxiphia lanceolata (lance-tailed manakin), 791 nucleotides. RefSeq lists it as uncharacterized. The transcript is spliced from 6 exons. The record is from RefSeq and is a predicted model, not a curated record. Lineage: Eukaryota; Metazoa; Chordata; Aves; Passeriformes; Pipridae.
GAACUUCCAUGAAAAGCUGGGAAAAAGAACUUGAUCCUACAGUUCAACAGAUUCAGCCAAUACUUGCCAUGCCUUGAGAUGGCAUUUCCACUGGAAUGCUGAAGGCACCUCAAGGUGCUCCUGGUGAAGUGUUUGUGAGUCAGCCAGGGGAACCCAGCACAUUUCCCAGGGGAAAAGGCUCAGGAGAAAGACAGGCCAACCACUAAUGAGGCAUUCCCAGGAAACACAGAAGGGAGGGAGAUCAAAGUGGAGCAGCUGGAAACCAAGGCCCAGAUUUUUAACACAGUUCGGAAACAGAUGAGCGUUUAACCUCCUGAGACCAAACAUAUGUUACUAUGAAGUAGCAAACUUACGUGUUUGUUGCCCAUUUCAUGGCUGGAAGCUGAAGAUGUUUUGGCAUCAACUAGUUAAAGUUUGAUAAAGCUUCCUGAGCUCAGUAUGUCCCGCUGUUGUUCAGGAGAGAUACCGGCUCAGCUGGCUGCUUUUCCAGGCAGCACUGCUCUCCCCAGGCCUCCCCCUGCAGACACCAACUUCUGUGUGAUAAGGAGAAGUUUUUAGCUCUGAACACUCAUCAAAAACACCACUCCUCCGUGUGGUGUUGCCUGCAAAGCAGUGGGAAGAUCAAACAGCCCCUCAGGCAGCUGCUCAUAUUGGUCAGUGCCUCUGAGAAGGAUGAGCCCAUCAGUGGAGCCGAGCGCUGCUGUACAUCACCGGCACGGGGAGGGGGAAUGACCUUGAGCUCUUGGCCAAAGUGACAAGUUAACGUUGGCCGUUUUGUUACUGAGGAGCAG